GACGAACGCUGGCGGCGUGCUUAACACAUGCAAGUCGAGCGGUAAGGCCCUUUCGGGGGUACACGAGCGGCGAACGGGUGAGUAACACGUGGGUGACCUGCCCUCAGCUCUGGGAUAAGCCUGGGAAACCGGGUCUAAUACCGGAUAUGACUCCAUGACGCAUGUUGUGGGGUGGAAAGCCUUGUGCGGCUGAGGAUGGGCCCGCGGCCUAUCAGCUUGGUUGGGUGGGGUGAUGGCCUACCAAGGCGACGACGGGUAGCCGGCCUGAGAGGGCGACCGGCCACACUGGGACUGAGACA
RNAcentral lists this ribosomal RNA (299 nucleotides) under uncultured bacterium. RNAcentral describes it as "partial 16S ribosomal RNA". It matches the Rfam family "Bacterial small subunit ribosomal RNA", at positions 28 to 326 of the family's 1533-position model. The record is from RNAcentral.